Molecule: unclassified non-coding RNA, 329 nt
Filed under: soil metagenome
Description: partial contains 5.8S ribosomal RNA, internal transcribed spacer 2, and large subunit ribosomal RNA
Rfam family: 5.8S ribosomal RNA (bases 1-120)
Source: RNAcentral
GAUGAAGAACGUAGCGAAAUGCGAUAAGUAGUGUGAAUUGCAGAAUUCAGUGAAUCAUCGAAUCUUUGAACGCACAUUGCGCGCCUUGGUAUCCCGAGGGGCAUGCCUGUUCGAGCGUCAUUUCACCACUCAAGCCUGGCUUGGUGUUGGGCGACGUCCCCUUUGGGGACGCGCCUCGAAACGCUCGGCGGCGUGGCACCGGCUUUAAGCGUAGCAGAAUCUUUCGCUUUGGAAGUCGGGGCCCCGUCUGCCGGAAGACCUACUCGCAAGGUUGACCUCGGAUCAGGCAGGGAUACCCGCUGAACUUAAGCAUAUCAAUAAGCGGAGGA